Molecule: unclassified non-coding RNA, 350 nt
Filed under: plant metagenome
Description: partial contains 5.8S ribosomal RNA, internal transcribed spacer 2, and large subunit ribosomal RNA
Rfam family: 5.8S ribosomal RNA (bases 1-105)
Source: RNAcentral
GAAAUGCGAUAAGUAAUGUGAAUUGCAGAAUUCAGUGAAUCAUCGAAUCUUUGAACGCACCUUGCGCUCCUUGGUAUUCCGAGGAGCAUGCCUGUUUGAGUGUCAUGGAAUUCUCAACUCUAUUUGCUUUUGUGAAUAGAGCUUGGAUUUGGAGGUUUAUUGCUGGUACUUGUGAUCGGCUCCUCUUGAAUGCAUUAGCUCGAACCUUUGCGGAUCAGCUAUCGGUGUGAUAAUUGUCUACGCCGUUGCAGUGAAGCAUAUCAAUGGGCUCGGCUUCCAAUCGUCCUGUACUGGACAAUGACUUUGACCUUUGACCUCAAAUCAGGUAGGAUUACCCGCUGAACUUAAGC